AGUGAACGCUGGCGGUAGGCCUAACACAUGCAAGUCGAACGGCAGCACAGGAGAGCUUGCUCUCUGGGUGGCGAGUGGCGGACGGGUGAGGAAUACAUCGGAAUCUACUUUUUCGUGGGGGAUAACGUAGGGAAACUUACGCUAAUACCGCAUACGACCUACGGGUGAAAGCAGGGGACCUUCGGGCCUUGCGCGAUUGACUGAGCCGAUGUCGGAUUAGCUAGUUGGCGGGGUAAAGGCCCACCAAGGCGACGAUCCGUAGCUGGUCUGAGAGGAUGAUCAGCCACACUGGAACUGAGACACGGUCCAGACUCCUACGGGAGGCAGCAGUGGGGAAUAUUGGACAAUGGGCGCAAGCCUGAUCCAGCCAUACCGCGUGGGUGAAGAAGGCCUUCGGGUUGUAAAGCCCUUUUGUUGGGAAAGAAAUCCAGCUGGCUAAUACCCGGUUGGGAUAACGGUACCCAAAGAAUAAGCACCGGCUAACUUCGUGCCAGCCGCCGCAGUAA
This 506-nucleotide ribosomal RNA is filed under the name uncultured bacterium. Its description in RNAcentral is "partial 16S ribosomal RNA". It matches the Rfam family "Bacterial small subunit ribosomal RNA", at positions 29 to 523 of the family's 1533-position model. The record is from RNAcentral.